GAUGAACGCUGGCGGCGUGCCUAAUACAUGCAAGUCGAGCGAACAGACGAGGAGCUUGCUCCUCUGACGUUAGCGGCGGACGGGUGAGUAACACGUGGAUAACCUACCUAUAAGACUGGGAUAACUUCGGGAAACCGGAGCUAAUACCGGAUAAUAUAUUGAACCGCAUGGUUCAAUAGUGAAAGACGGUUUUGCUGUCACUUAUAGAUGGAUCCGCGCCGCAUUAGCUAGUUGGUAAGGUAACGGCUUACCAAGGCAACGAUGCGUAGCCGACCUGAGAGGGGGAUCGGCCACACGGGAACUGAGACACGGCCCAGACUCUUACGGGAGGCAGCGGUAGGGAAUCUUCCGAAAUGGGCGAAAGCCUGACGGAGAAACGCCGGGUGGGUGAUGAAGGUCUUCGGAUCGUAAAACGCUGUUAUUAGGGAAAAAAAAAUGUGUAAUUAACUAUGCACGUCUUGACGGUACCAAAUCAGAAAGCCACGGCUAACUACGU
Molecule: ribosomal RNA, 496 nt
Filed under: uncultured bacterium
Lineage: Bacteria
Description: partial 16S ribosomal RNA
Rfam family: Bacterial small subunit ribosomal RNA
Source: RNAcentral